Molecule: ribosomal RNA, 209 nt
Filed under: uncultured bacterium
Lineage: Bacteria
Description: partial 16S ribosomal RNA
Rfam family: Bacterial small subunit ribosomal RNA
Source: RNAcentral
UACGUAGGGUGCAAGCGUUAAUCGGAAUUACUGGGCGUAAAGCGUGCGCAGGCGGUUUCGCAAGUCAGAUGUGAAAGCCCCGGGCUCAACCUGGGAAUUGCAUUUGAGACUACGAAGCUAGAGUGUGUCAGAGGGGGGUAGAAUUCCGACGUGUAGCAGUAGAAAUGCGUAGAGAUGUGGAGGAAUACCGAUGGCGGAAGGCAGCCCCC